UCUCCGUUGGUGAACCAGCGGAGGGAUCAUUACAGGACUCGCAAGACUCCUUCACCCUGUGAACCUCACUACUAGCACUUUGCUUCGGCGGGUGUCCCGGCGAAGGUUUUCCCUCGCCGGGGCGCACACCCCACCGGCAGCCUUCUAUACUCUUUCUCUGUGCGUUGGCAUCUCAAGAAAAAACAAACAAGUUAAAACUUUCAACAACGGAUCUCUUGAUUCUG
Molecule: unclassified non-coding RNA, 224 nt
Filed under: plant metagenome
Description: partial contains small subunit ribosomal RNA, internal transcribed spacer 1, and 5.8S ribosomal RNA
Source: RNAcentral